GUCGCCUCUGUCUUCUCUCCUUUGCCUCGCGCCCUCCCAGUAGCCACCGACCACCAGACACCGUCACACUAGUCGCCGACUCGCUGACUCGCCGCUUCGCCAACUUUAUCUUAAAGCUUCAACCGUCGCCAGAUGCCCAGCUCCUUCUUCCACCACAGACUCUGUCUUCACCCUCAGGCCUCAGUGAGAACUGAGAAGUGUGACAUUUUUGUGGCAGACUCCAAAGAAUGGCCAAGUAUAGAUCCUUUCCACACAAUCCACUCCAGCCCUUGUUCUUUUCCCACAAAAUACCCUUCACCUCUUGCCCUUUACCUUUAGAAUCUCCUCCACAAUCUGCUAUUGGAGCACACCCAGAUGACCUAAGAGUCGCGUGCUUUUCAGCAUUAGAGCAGCUAAUUCGACGCGGAUUAGUGAAUUCCGCACAGAAGCUUGUUCAGAGAAUUAUAAAGCAUUCCUCAUCGGUCCAUGAAGCCGUCUCUGCUGUUGAUUUUGCACUUUCUAGGGGAGUCGAGCUCGAUAUCAAGAGUUAUGAUUUUCUUAUCAGAAAACUUGCGACUUGUGGCAAAGCCAGGAUGGCAGAGGCAGUUUAUGUUGACUUCAUUUUGAGCAGAGGAGUUGAGCCGGAUCAUUAUUUAUUGAAUUCUAUGGUUCUUUGUUAUUCUAAGUUGGGUAAGUUGGAGGAAGCGAAGUCUCAAUUUGAUAGACUUCUUGCAAUGGAAAUUAUGCCUUGCAGUGCAGCGUGCAGUGAAAUUAUUAGAGAGUUUUGUGUACAAAACCGAGUCCUUGAGGGAUUUCAUGUGUUUCUUGAAGUUUGUGAUGCUGAAUUUGUACUGAACCUCCAGUGCUACAAUGAGUUGGUGGAUGGGUUGAGCUCAAGAGGGUACAUAGACGAAGCACUUUGUGUGUAUGACUUAAUGUGUGAUAAAGGGGUGCCACCCACUAUUCAUUUGCUCAAAAAAUUGGUUUUCGUGCUUUGUCGGAGUGGUCGGGUUGAGGAGGCUGAGUUGUUAAGUUUGAACAUGGAAUCUUUUGGUUUCUUUCUUGAUAAAGUCAUGUACACGGCUCUUAUCAAUGGGUAUUGCCAGAAAAGAAGUAUGAGGAUGGCUAUGAGAUUGUUUUACAGAAUGCUGAAAAUGGGCUGCCAGCCAGAUAAUUAUACAUGCAACACAUUGAUGCAUGGUUUUUUGAACUUAGGCGUGUUUGAAAAAAUUCCUGUGUUGCAUCACCAGAUGGAAGAGCUGGGGUUGAAGCUUAAUGUUGUGAGUUACCAAAUCAUGAUUAGCAAGUGUUGCAAGGUUUUUAAAGUUGAUUGUGCAUUGGCCCUGUUAAAUAGUAUGAUACAGUGCAAUUUAGCACCCACUGUAUACUGUUACACGCCUUUACUUGCUGCACUUUAUAAGGAAAAUCGAUUAGCAGAAGUUGAUCAAUUGUAUAAUCAGUUGUUUGAUCAUGGACUUCUUCCUGAUGAAGUUCUCUUCUUCACUGUAGUAAAAAACCAUGUAGAAGGGCAUGAGAUUAAUCUGGCUCAUAAUUUUGUGGCAGAAAUUGCCAAAAAUGGGUGUGGCAUUGACCUCUCAGACAUCUGUAGCACCAGUAGUAAAUCUGCUGAUGACAUCAUGCUUGAGACUGAUCUUCUCCUGGAAGAAAUUUUUUCACGAAACUCAGGUUUAGCUUGUGUUGCUUUUAAUAUAUACAUGACUGCACUGUGUUAUGGAGGCAGACUUGAGGCUGCUUUGCUAUGCAUGGAUAAAAUGUCAAAUCUUUCUCUUCAGCCUUCACUCCCAGCUUACAACUCCAUCAUUAGGUGUCUUUACCAGAAAGGACGAGGAGAGGAUGCUAAAUCCCUUGUUAAAGUAAUGCAAGACCAAGGUCUAGUUCCAAGCAUGCUAACAUUCUUAAUAAUGGCGAAUGAGCAAUGUAAACAGGGUGACUUGCCAUCAGCUAUUGGGAUUUUAGAUCAACUAGAAGAUAGUGGAAUGAAGCCUAGUGUCGCUAUAUAUGACUCUAUAAUAGGGCAUUUGACUAGAGAGAAGAGAGUACCGGAAGCAUUAGAAUUGUUUGCUAGAAUGCGUGAGGCUGGAACUCUCCCUGAUGAAAAUAUGUUUGUAACAAUGAUUAAUGGUCUCUCAAAGAACGGACAAGCAAUUGCAGCUCAUGAACUCUUUGAGAAAAUGUCGGAGUGUGGUAUUCGACCAGGCUACCGGGCUUACACCGCACUUAUAAAUGGAUUUGUUAAGAAAAACAUGAUAGCAAAGGGGUGCCUAUAUCUUGAUAGAAUGUUCAAAGAGGGAUUUAUGCCCAAUGCUGCUCUUUAUACAUCUCUGAUCAACCAAUUUUUAAGGAAGGGAGAAAUUGGAUUUGCGCUUCAGUUAGUUGAUUUGAUGGAGAGAACUCAGAUUGAGCAAGAUAUGAUAACCCAUGUUGCAUUGGUUAGUGGUGUUUGCAGAAAUAUUCGAUACAUUAGUAGGAAAUGGCAUGAAUCACAAAGACAAUUUGAGAAGCCAAAGUCUAUGCUUUACGAUCUACUCUGCCAGUAUACCAAUUUUUCAAAGGGGAAAGAUUUGAAAUUUUUUUUCAGUUCAAGGAAAGAACUAAAAGUUUUUGCACUGAAAUUGAUCAGCAAAGUGGAAGAAACUAAUUUUCUUCCGAACUUAUACCUGCAUAAUGGCGUGAUUGCUGGAUAUUGUUGGGCAAAUAAUAUGCAAGGGGUUACAAUGACUAAAUCAAUCUGCUAUCUCAUGAUUCACCAAAACAAAAUCUGCUAUCUCACGGACAUGGGAGAUGAUGAGUGUUUCACUAAUGAUACAUUAAGUAUGGAUGUUACAGUGGUCACUGGAUGACAGUGCAAUAAGCACUUUGGAUUCUCCAGUUGAUCUUGAAGGCUUUUAGGGGUUCUUGUCUUAAGUUGAAGCUGAACAUCUUUUAUACAGACUCUAGAACUUCAUCAGUUACUGAGACCAAUAGUUUCAGCAGCAGAAUCAUCUUGUCUUCAGACUAUUCAACAUAGGAUGAGAUCUUCAGCUGGUCAAUUGGGUGCCUGUCAAGGGCUUCAAUGGAGCACCUGCCAAUAGCUUCAGCCAGUGAAAUCUUUGCCAGAGGCUCCAAUAGGUGCCACUGUGCCUACCAAAAGCUUCCAUUCUGAGAAGGUCUUUGGCUCUUUGCAUCUCCUGCAAUUGAGUCUAUUUAAUGUGGCUCUACCUGAGAUUCAGUUUCAAACGAUUCCUCGAUCAAAUGUCCUUGAGUCUUGAUUCUAACGAUUGAACUUAAGAUUCUGGACUCGUAUAUACGUCAUAUGGAUGGAUGCACUUUGGAUACUGAAGGGGAAAAGGAUAGAGUCAUCAAGUGCCUUGAAGCUGCUAUUCAAAGAAGAGUAAGUGAGAGUUGAAUUUGAUGCAGGGCCUAAGAUCGACUAGAACUAUGUGCAAAGGACAGAGUAGGACUGCUAUCUGAUGUAACAAGAGUUGUGAGAGAAAAUGGGCUGUUAGAGUUACAAGAGUGGGGGAUUCAACUGUUGGGGAGCAAGGAGCGAAUGUGUUGUACGUAAGAGAUUCAUCUGGAAAUCCGGUGGACACGAAAAUAAUUGAAGGACUGCACAAAGAAAUCGGGCAAAGGAUGAUGCUUAAUGUGAAGAAAGUGGCAGCAUAUAUGUGCAUGUGCAAAGGAGCAAAUAAUUUGCAACUCAAAGGGUUUAACAUUACAGAGGAAUAUAGUCAAAACAACAACAAAACAGACAAAUCUCAGAAUUAACAACGGGUUCCGGCGGGGCUUGGGCGGUUGCGGCAGUAUUUUCUUCGGAGACAAGUGCAGCCGCCGAUUGGAACUCCGAUGGGUGACGGUGGAGAACGGCUGGGCUUAGGUGGCUGCAGCAGUGUUUUCUUCCGGUAAGCUUUCUUACGUUACCGUCGAUUCCAACCUCAACGAAGGUGUAGGUGAGGUCCAUUAGGAAAGUUCCUUUCAUUUUCAAACCCAGAUCCCUUUCUCCUCCAUUUCUUUUCUUAAACUUUACACAGUUUGAAUAAAUUUUGGGUUCAAGGUGAUAUACAUGUUGAAAUACAUAUUAAACUAGAUAUAAUCUCAAUAUUUUGGAUGAAGAUGAAAGAAUUAAGACAAGUAUUUUAAGGAUUGAUUUAUGAGAAA
RNA transcript from Ipomoea triloba (trilobed morning glory), 4137 nucleotides. It is a transcript of the gene named pentatricopeptide repeat-containing protein At5g62370-like, with no coding region annotated. The record is from RefSeq and is a predicted model, not a curated record. Lineage: Eukaryota; Viridiplantae; Streptophyta; Magnoliopsida; Solanales; Convolvulaceae. The transcript is spliced from 10 exons.